UAUUGCGUCAUUUGAUUUUGA
Caenorhabditis elegans is the source of this 21-nucleotide non-coding RNA. Lineage: Eukaryota; Metazoa; Nematoda; Chromadorea; Rhabditida; Rhabditidae. The record is from Ensembl.